GGGAGCAGCACAUGGAUGUCGAUUUUUUGGCACCUCUGCUAUCAUGAAACUAGUAUGGAUAGGUUCAGGCACACUUUUGCUCGUUUUCGGCACGAGGAGGAAGAAGAUGAUUUAAUUUCUUUGAGGGUAAGGAUGAUGAUGCUGAUAGUCCAUAUGUUGAAGCCCUGCUGACACAGCAGCCUAAGAAUGUCGGAAGUGUAUCGUUCUGUGAUGAUUCUGCCAACAAACAAAGGAAGAACAAGGAAGAAGAGAAUUCUUGUCCUGUUGCAGUGCAGUUGCCAUCUGAAGAAGGCGAUCAAGAGCUGAAGCAACAUGGAGCAUCCCGGCCAUCCUUGAAUUCUCCUGGCAGCAGGAGGCACAGGCGCAGAGGUAACAGAAAGAAGGGGGAAGAUGGUUCUGCUUCGAGUCCUAUUGAAGCUCAUGUGCCAUCUGAAAAAACGAAGCAAAACAAGUCAAAUUCUCCUGGCAAUAGAAGGCACAGGUGUCGUGGUAACAGCAAGGAGUUGCAUGAUUCUGCUCUGAGUCCUGAUGAAGCUCAUGUGCCAUCUGAAAAAGGGAAGCAAAAGAAGAAGUGGAAUUCUCCUGGCAACAGAAGGACCAAAAGUCCUGGUAACAGGAAGAAGUCAAAUUCUCCUGGCAACAGAAGGACCAACAGUCCUGGUAACAGGAAGAAGGAAGAAGAUGAUUUAAUUUCUUUGAAAGGACUAAUCCUGUGAGGAUGCUGUACAAGAAAAUAGGAGCAAUAUGGAUCUCAAAACUGAAGAAAAGCAGGCCACCUGAGUGGCUCUGUGCUCAGAAAAGAGGAUUGCUUACUGUUUCACAAAAAUAGGAUUUUUCUAAGCCAUCCUCUGUCUAUUAGGCCUUUUUCUAAGCCAGUCAAAAUUACCAGGAUAAAAUCAGGGAUUAAAUGAGCGUUGGUUUGAACUCGACAAAUAUUUUUUAUCAGUUAACCAUGUUAUGUAGCUACUGCAUUGUCUUGCCGAUAAUCAUCUUCACACACUAGAUAUCAAUUUAUAUGUGUGAUUUCAUUUGAAUCUUGUAAGCCAUAAAAUUAUUUUUGGCAUCAUCUGGUAGCCGGAAAAAUGUUUAGUGUUUACUCACUCAAUGUGGGUUGGGUCCUAUCUUGCUUUUGUUUACUAUACUCCUACUUGUUUAUGUUAGCAAUUAGAAAACCUAAGAUUUAGGGCCCAAAUCCAGGCCCCACGACUAAUUUGUUAAUGCAUUAACCAAAUGUGAAAUGUGGCAGCAUCAGCAUGAGUAUCGGGGGCCAUCCUCCUUGGAAUUUUGUCACUCUGUUUUUCUUGCUGGUCAAAGUGCGAGUACUGACAGGGGUUUUUGUUCUUAGAUUUGGCCACCGGAGAGGAUUGGUUCGAUUGGUUCAAAGGAGUAGGACACGGAGCGUGGCCUCCGAACAUUCAGCAAAAGAGGGACAUUGUGAAUUUACUAGAUUGCGACAAGUCUACACAGGGAAUAGGCCGAGUUUGCAAUGAGCAGCUUGCAGAGCUACUAUGGCCUGAGUUCUCAAAGAGGAGAUGGCAUGGAUUUAAGUACAUUAAUGUCCUUGUACAGCAAGGGAAGCUCCCAAGGUAUUGGAAGUGAAAUACUCCCAAAUUCUUCUUCUCCGCCUGACAGUACACAAAGCAUUGGAAGAGGCAACUGGGCGACCAAAGAAUUAGUUCAUUGGUUCCAUACGCCAUGGCAGAAAGUGGAGGCCGAUCCCCAGGAUGACCCUUUCUGCCGGAUUCAAUUAAGAUGACGAAAAGUUUUUUGCCAAGGCCUUUUUUCCAGUAUGCGUUUGAAUAUGGACACAGACUCAAAGAACGGUGGGAUCUUUAUGUGGUCGGGCUCCAAGUGGACCUUCAACCAUGAGUCCUUCACCUGUCCGUUGCUCGACGGUCUGCCCAAACCUGUGCCGGGUCGUAGGAUGAAAGCUGCUUUUACUGAGUUCUACUCAAUGUAGCGGCGCAAUAGGAGUUAUUUUUGUAUUACCGCUCUGCUAUUGCAAGCUUCAUCUGGAUCUGUUAUGUCAUCCAUAUGAGCUAAGUUGAGAGGGAAAUGGAAGAGGAGGCUUGGUUCGACAUGAUCUUCUGUCACGUCAAUCCUUGUUCCUCAGAGCGGCGAUCACACAACGGACGGGAUUAUGGAGUCGUCAAACGACAUUACAGUUGCAUCAAAGAUAGAAAGAAUCCUCAAGAUCCUGGUGCAUUCUUUUUUGCUGUCGAAACUAAAGAAAGAAAGUGCCAGAACAACAUCCUGUGUUCAUUUUCUUUUUAAUUUUCUUCCACGAGAAUCAUGGUUCUGUAAACACAGCAGCAGUUUCAAAAUGGCUCAAAAAGUACAAUGCAUUCUUUGUCAUGUAACAGCGUUCCUAAGCUAUUAUUGAAUGAUCACGGUUUUUUUCAACACGUCCUGGACUUUACAUUUGAU
This 2427-nucleotide ribosomal RNA is filed under the name Triticum aestivum (bread wheat). RNAcentral's name for it is "partial small subunit ribosomal RNA". Lineage: Eukaryota; Viridiplantae; Streptophyta; Magnoliopsida; Poales; Poaceae. The record is from RNAcentral.